UACGUAGGGUGCAAGCGUUGUCCGGAAUUAUUGGGCGUAAAGGGCUCGUAGGCGGUUUGUCGCGUCGGGAGUGAAAUCCACUGGCUUAACUGGUGGCUUGCUUUCGAUACGGGCAGACUGGAGGUAUGCAGGGGAGAACGGAAUUCCUGGUGUAGCGGUGAAAUGCGCAGAUAUCAGGAGGAACACCGGUGGCGAAGGCGGUUCUCUGGGCAUGUCUUGACGCUGAGGAGCGAAAGUGUGGGGAGCGAACAGG
Molecule: ribosomal RNA, 253 nt
Filed under: uncultured bacterium
Lineage: Bacteria
Description: partial 16S ribosomal RNA
Rfam family: Bacterial small subunit ribosomal RNA
Source: RNAcentral